CACGGGAGGAGCAAGCGUUGUUCGGAAUCACUGGGCUUAAAGGGCGCGUAGGCGGCUUGCCAAGUCAGGGGUGAAAUCUUUCGGCUCAACCGGAAAAGUGCCUUUGAUACUGGCAAGCUCGAGGGAGGUAGGGGUAUGUGGAACUUCCGGUGGAGCGGUGAAAUGCGUAGAUAUCUGGAGGAACACCGGUGGCGAAGGCGGCAUCCUGGACCAACACUGACGCUGAGUGAGCGAAGGCCAGGGGAGCAAACGGG
This 254-nucleotide ribosomal RNA is filed under the name uncultured prokaryote. RNAcentral describes it as "partial 16S ribosomal RNA". It matches the Rfam family "Bacterial small subunit ribosomal RNA", at positions 524 to 776 of the family's 1533-position model. The record is from RNAcentral.